RNAcentral lists this long non-coding RNA (2833 nucleotides) under Mus musculus (house mouse). RNAcentral describes it as "long non-coding RNA chr3:34643263-34646096". The record is from RNAcentral. Lineage: Eukaryota; Metazoa; Chordata; Mammalia; Rodentia; Muridae.
UACGUGGGCUGCUGAAGAGUGCAGAUACCACAAGUACAACUUGACACCAUUGAGCCCACGGUGCUUGUCAAUAAGCUGUGAAUUAGGUGUAGAGACUGUCACCAUAGAUCAUAACAGUUUCUGAAGGACUCAUUACAGCAUAGCGUGUCAGUGAUCUCCAAAUUAAGGGAGGGGGGGUGAGAGAGGAAGAAGGAGUGGGGGCCGCCAACAAAAAUCCAAGAAGGGUGGGAGGAGAGAUAAAAGUCAGAGCCCCAGCUAAGAAGAAGGCUUUAAAGAUUAUCAGGCCAGCGAUCUAAGAAUUCUGUAAGGAUGGGUUUGGAAGCCCAAUUCUGAGCCUGGGCUGGGAGGGAUGCUGAGGCCAAGCAGAAGUGGGCCUCAGGGAAAGCUGACGUUCUCAGACAUUGCCUUUGAGGUUAGAAGAGCUUUUGGAAGCGACCUCCUGAUGUCAGCAGAAGGCCUGAAGGAUGCCAGCCCGCCCAGAAAUGGGAGCAUACCGAUUCACAGCUCUUUAGCACGAACCACAGUAGCCUUGGCUUCCUUUAGGUCUGGUGGUGAUUGUGGGUGACUUUCACCACGCAGGUUUGCUUUGGCUUCUUGUCAUGCUACAGGUGGAAAGCUUUCCUCUGUUCCCUGAAAGCAAAAAGAAAAAAAAAAGAAAAGCAGUCCAGUGCAGUGAAGCAAAUCUCCCCCUUCCUUCGGCCUGCUCUUAGGCAUCCCUAAGACCCUUGCCUUCCGAGGCUUAUCACUUUCUGUUGUCCCGUCGCCACCGGGUAGAGGUUCCGGCAAGGAAGCUUUUGAGUGACACAAAGCAGAAAGUUAUGUGAGGUCACGGAGGAAAGACAGAGCUCGAGGCUAAGUGUUCUAGCUCCUUGGACUUUGCUGCAGCAGUCACAUGUCACCGGCCUGCAUUGCUGUCACUUAAUAUGGGUCAGAAAAACCUCAAGGAAGGGCUUGGGUUUGUUUUUAGAUGGCACAAUUAAAUAAAGUAAUUGCAGCUAGAAAAAUUUUAAAGAAACAUCUUUUUCUUGAAAUUACGGGAAACAAUCAGGGCCAUCGGACAAAAGAGGACAUGUGUAUGCCUUUGGUAGGAUGAAUUGCCUAAAAUAUUUGGCUGUCAAGUAAGUGUAUACAUAGACUUCCAAGCGUUGAUUUGGAGGUGCAAAAGGACUAAUGUCUCUCUGGAGUGUUUGGACUCUCUGGUGAUCCCCCACCCCCCCACACACACACCCCUGAUUUUUAGAAUCAGAAGUGCAAUUGAAGACCAACAGUAGCUGCUCUUCCUGCCUCCGGUUUGUCUUUAACAGGGGAAUUUCUGUCUUUAAAGCAAUUAGAUCAUCUAAAGGGCAAACUACAUUUCCCCUGGACAGCAACAGCAGUGGUAGAAACAGAAUCUCAGGGUUGAUAAUUCAUGAAAUGGAAAUGAAAAAUAGUGAAGUGUGAAUCCUUUGCCCAGAAAAAAAAAAUUAAUGAUCUGGAAUAUCUGAAAGAUCUAAGAAUACAUGAACCAUUGUAAGUCAUGUGAUUUUUUUUUACAUACAGCCCAGAAGACUCAAAAAGGCAGUUUUAAUAUAUAUAUGUAUAUAUUUAAAAGCAAGAGGGAAAUAUGUUAAGUUUCUAACUGCCAAACUCUUUUUUUUUUAAUGCAUUUACUUCAUCAGUGAGAGGUGGAAUGAAUUGAGCACAAUGGUCACUGGGCAGACCACCCUGCAUUCCGCAGGUUUCAAGGGUCCUUGCAGCUCUUGAGGGAAAUUAUUUGGUAAAAUUGGGUCUAGGCUUCAACAGCCCCUUGUCCAUUUGUUUCAUAUAAUACCACUUCUGAAAAUUAAAGGCAAGAUCCUGGAGAGACACAAGGAGAAAAAAAUAUGAUUGAGCAAUUUUAAAUUAGCAGUGUACCUUGUAUCCAUAUGGUAAACAAAAAGGGGUAGAAGUCUGUGGUUGCUCUUUGUAGCAUCUUGAAACAUGGAUUAUGGACCCUGUCAGUCAUCUCUCACACUUACCAAGUUUAACACUGACCAUGGGAAGAAAACGGGAUAAGUAAGGCACCAAUGAAAGAACAGCCAUUUUCCUCAGUUAUACUAGGAAAAUGAAGGUGCCCCUACAGUCUGGUCAAUGAAGGGAACUUAGGUCAGAGGAAACCUCACAGCGAAGGGAUUCAUUUUCUAAUUCCUACCUUAACUUUCCGUAUCCUCAUUUCUCUAGCACGUUUCUUGUUGAUUAUUUUUGGAAGGUAUGUGAUUUUUUAUGUACUUAUUUAUUUGGAAAAUAAAUCUUCCAAAUGCAUUUCCCUGUCGUCAUCUGUGUUUCCUAACUCUUAAAGCUCUGGUCCCUCUGAAGGCUCAGCAGUUUCCCCACCUGCCAUGUGGAUUGACCCAGCAUUUUUUGUGACUCAGAGGGCAGAAGGAAGCAUAAAUUCUCUGUUUUCCUAUAGUAUUGGGGCAUAGACAAACAGAACCUCAUCAGAUGCAUGGGCCAUUCCCUAAGCCUCUUAAUAGUCUCUGCUUUUAAAAUCAUGAACUUUUCUAUAGUUUUUGUAUUUCAGGGGUUUUUGUUGUUGUUGUUGUUGUUGUUGUUGAUUUGCCUCUUGAAUGCCUGGCUCCAAUGUAAUGUUUCUCGCUGCAGAAGGAUUCCUGCUAUGGUUGUGGUCAGAAGAGAUGCUCAGAAGGUUAGCUAGCAUAAAGAGGAACUUAAAGGGGGUGGGGGGAGCACUUCGUUUGGUUAAAGCUGGUUCCCAAUAUAUUUAACCAGUUCCAGAAUUAGAAAGCCUUUCUGUACAUUUUCUCUUAUUUUUCUUGCUACUUUUCCUUAUGUAAUGAAAUUAAAACUUUUGGAACCC